This 26-nucleotide non-coding RNA is filed under the name Homo sapiens (human). The record is from RNAcentral. Lineage: Eukaryota; Metazoa; Chordata; Mammalia; Primates; Hominidae.
UGCUUCAGGACAAUGGGGAACAUGGU